This 74-nucleotide small RNA is filed under the name Microcebus murinus (gray mouse lemur). RNAcentral describes it as "Y RNA (ENSMICG00000042043.1)". Lineage: Eukaryota; Metazoa; Chordata; Mammalia; Primates; Cheirogaleidae. The record is from RNAcentral.
GUGCAGUGGUGUUUACAACUAAUCGAUCACCAGUUACAGGUCCCUUUGUUCCCUCUCUGCUCCCACCGCUUCAC